AAAGAUCGAAGGGGGAGAUUCAUCGUCAGCGGUGCAGGCUGCGCGAUGGCGUGCGAUGUCGCGGAUUACGGUCCGACGGCACGCGGUCGUCGUGUAUUGUCCGGCAACGUCGACGUGCACUUCUCCCCUUGUAGAACGUCGCGACCCGUUGGGUGUCGUUCUAAGGCUCGGAUGGAAGACUGUCUCGUCGCUUCGGCGCAUCGAGAUAGACCACCGAUCGCCAGUAACGGCUGCCCGGCGGUACACACAUGGUAUCGAGCCGCAUCAUAAUCGAUUGCGUCGGACCCGCCGCAAGCGCGGCCAGUGUUUUACCGGGAUUUCGGACCUAGCGCCGUCCCCGGUCCUGGCCAGCUGUUGGUUGGCGGUGUUCUCCGACUGGCCAAUAUACCGGUCAGCGACGCUACUGCUUUGGGUAAUCUCAGGACCCGUCUUGAAACACGGACCAAGGAGUCUAACAUGUACGCGAGUCAUUGGGACCGCAUACCUAAAGGCAAAAUGAAAGUAAAGGUCGACCUUGCGUCGACUGAGGGAGGAUGGGUCGCGUCACGAUGCGACCCCGCACUCCCGGGGCGUCUCGUUCUCAUUACGAGAAGAGGCGCACCCAGAGCGUACACGUUGGGACCCGAAAGAUGGUGAACUAUGCCUGGUCAGGACGAAGUCAGGGGAAACCCUGAUGGAGG
This 680-nucleotide ribosomal RNA is filed under the name Goniozus japonicus. RNAcentral describes it as "eukaryotic LSU rRNA". It matches the Rfam family "Eukaryotic large subunit ribosomal RNA", at positions 583 to 873 of the family's 3401-position model. Lineage: Eukaryota; Metazoa; Arthropoda; Insecta; Hymenoptera; Bethylidae. The record is from RNAcentral.